This 276-nucleotide unclassified non-coding RNA is filed under the name uncultured bacterium. RNAcentral's name for it is "partial contains 16S ribosomal RNA and 16S-23S ribosomal RNA intergenic spacer region". The record is from RNAcentral.
CAGCAGUGGGACUCCUACGGGAGGCAGCAGUGGGACUCCUACGGGGGGCAGCAGUGGGACUCCUACGGGAGGCAGCAGUGGGACAGUUGGCUCAGAACGAACGCUGGCGGCAGCAGUGGGACUCCUACGGGAGGCAGCAGUGGGGCCCACUCCUACGGGAGGCAGCAGUGGGACUCCUACGGGAGGCAGCAGUGGGACUCCUACGGGAGGCAGCAGUGGGGCAGUUGGCUCAGAACGAACGCUGGCGGCCCACUCCUACGGGAGGCAGCAGUGGGA